UCCAAAAUAACCUUCAGGGCAUCUUCUUUGUUGACAGCCUAUUGGGGAACCGUGCCUUCAUAGGGAAUAUUCUAGAUCUGCCCUAAUCUCCUUGCAAUCAGUAGAAAUAUGACACCUUUAAUAGUGCAGCCCAUGUCAUCCGAACCUCUCUCUCACCAAGCUUGGGUAGGCAGGCUAAUUCAUAAUGCAGAACCUCUCCUAUUCUUGAUUCUAGAUCCAAUCCCCAACACAAAAUCUCUCCUUAUCAAGAAAUUGAAAGUCAAUUUUCCUACCGAUUGUGAUGAUACAUUGAGAAAGGAAUCCA
This 304-nucleotide long non-coding RNA is filed under the name Elaeis guineensis (African oil palm). Its description in RNAcentral is "long non-coding RNA (EGUI_LNC041253)". The record is from RNAcentral. Lineage: Eukaryota; Viridiplantae; Streptophyta; Magnoliopsida; Arecales; Arecaceae.